GUGACCUCAAAUCAGGUAGGACUACCCGCUGAACUUAAGCAUAUCAAUAAGCGGAGGAAAAGAAACUAACAAGGAUUCCCCUAGUAACUGCGAGUGAAGCGGGAAAAGCUCAAAUUUAAAAUCUGGCGGUCUUUUGGCUGUCCGAGUUGUAAUCUAGAGAAGUGUUAUCCGCGCUGGACCGUGUACAAGUCUCCUGGAAUGGAGCAUCAUAGAGGGUGAGAAUCCCGUCNUUGACAUGGACUGCCAGGGCUUUUGUGAUGCGCUCUC
RNAcentral lists this ribosomal RNA (267 nucleotides) under uncultured Cortinarius. RNAcentral describes it as "partial 28S ribosomal RNA". It matches the Rfam family "Eukaryotic large subunit ribosomal RNA", at positions 1 to 258 of the family's 3401-position model. Lineage: Eukaryota; Fungi; Basidiomycota; Agaricomycetes; Agaricales; Cortinariaceae. The record is from RNAcentral.